CCGACGGGGAAAGCGAUCUCCCCGCGAGGCGACAUGCCCAAGAAUCGCGUCCUGAUCACGAAGGGCGCAGCAUG
Molecule: non-coding RNA, 74 nt
Organism: Bradyrhizobium sp.
Lineage: Bacteria; Pseudomonadati; Pseudomonadota; Alphaproteobacteria; Hyphomicrobiales; Nitrobacteraceae
Source: Rfam